This 557-nucleotide ribosomal RNA is filed under the name uncultured eukaryote. RNAcentral describes it as "SSU rRNA". It matches the Rfam family "Eukaryotic small subunit ribosomal RNA", at positions 5 to 565 of the family's 1831-position model. The record is from RNAcentral.
UGGUUGAUCCUGCCAGUAGUCAUAUGCUUGUCUCAAAGAUUAAGCCAUGCAUGUCUAAGUAUAAGCAAUCUAUACGGUGAAACUGCGAAUGGCUCAUUAAAUCAGUUAUCGUUUAUUUGAUAGUACCUUACUACUUGGAUAACCGUGGUAAUUCUAGAGCUAAUACAUGCUAAAAACCCCGACUUCGGAAGGGGUGUAUUUAUUAGAUAAAAAACCAAUGCCCUUCGGGGCUCCUUGGUGAUUCAUAAUAACUUAACGAAUCGCAUGGCCUUGUGCCGGCGAUGGUUCAUUCAAAUUUCUGCCCUAUCAACUUUCGAUGGUAGGAUAGUGGCCUACCAUGGUUUCAACGGGUAACGGGGAAUUAGGGUUCUAUUCCGGAGAGGGAGCCUGAGAAACGGCUACCACAUCCAAGGAAGGCAGCAGGCGCGCAAAUUACCCAAUCCCGACACGGGGAGGUAGUGACAAUAAAUACUGAUACAGGGCUCUUUUGGGUCUUGUAAUUGGAAUGAGUACAAUUUAAAUCCCUUAACGAGGAACAAUUGGAGGGCAAGUCUGGU